CUGAGGCAGAGAUGGCAGUGAACCUGUCUCCCCGCAGCCCCCCAAAGAUGGCUUAUUUCCUUCCGAGGAUCAACAGCCUUGAAUCGUUCUUCGUUCGACACCAGUGUUAAUCUCACGUUCUUCCGCGUGCGGGAAAAUGCUUUGUCAGUGUCGUGUCUGUUGAGCAGGACAUCAACAUGCGAAAAAGGCAGUCAGUAUAUGCCCUUCCACUCGACGUAAGAGCUCAAAUGGUGACUCUUUCCGCGCGUCAGAAAACCCGUAAACAAGCAGGACGACGUAGUUGGGAUGCUCUUGCAGGCUCUCACACCCUUUCUGGACUCAGAAGAAGGCAAACCAAAGCGUUCUUUCGAGGAAACGCAUCCCCGUCAGAACGUCUGUGCUUGGCCGAAAACCGACGUAUCCCGUUUGUAGCUGCGAUCUUGCGGUAAAGUUCCCCUGUGUCGGGCAGGAAGCACACCGCUGGUAGCUUUACUCGGGCAUAGUUUGUGGCCACCAAAAACAAACGCGUCAUUGUUUCGAGAAUAUUUUGGCUGCAAAUUGUGUACACUUAAAGGUUUCCGCUAUGUCUGCUUGAAUAAUCCAACUGGCAUUGCCCAUGUUUAAAGCCUUCCUCCAUUGAGGGUAGAGCGAUGUUUUCGUUGUGUCACGUCUGUCGUUUGGUUUGUCCUAACCAUUUUGACUGAAGUGGAAACAUAAACGGG
This 701-nucleotide long non-coding RNA is filed under the name Toxoplasma gondii VEG. The record is from RNAcentral. Lineage: Eukaryota; Apicomplexa; Conoidasida; Eucoccidiorida; Sarcocystidae.